RNAcentral lists this ribosomal RNA (274 nucleotides) under uncultured bacterium. RNAcentral describes it as "partial 16S ribosomal RNA". It matches the Rfam family "Bacterial small subunit ribosomal RNA", at positions 523 to 796 of the family's 1533-position model. The record is from RNAcentral.
AUACGGAGGGGGCUAGCGUUGUUCGGAAUUACUGGGCGUAAAGGGCGUGUAGGCGGAUCGAUUAGUCAGGCGUGAAAGCCCCGGGCUCAACCCGGGAACUGCGUUUGAAACUGUCGAUCUUGAGUUCGGGAGAGGGUAGUGGAAUUCCCAGUGUAGAGGUGAAAUUCGUAGAUAUUGGGAAGAACACCAGUGGCGAAGGCGGCUUACUGGCUCGAUACUGACGCUGAGGCGCGAAAGCGUGGGGAGCAAACAGGAUUAGAAACCCGAGUAGUCC